This 660-nucleotide ribosomal RNA is filed under the name Triticum aestivum (bread wheat). RNAcentral describes it as "partial small subunit ribosomal RNA". Lineage: Eukaryota; Viridiplantae; Streptophyta; Magnoliopsida; Poales; Poaceae. The record is from RNAcentral.
AGACACUCGAAAGUACUCACAUUUCAAAGAGAAGAAGAAGGAAGAACAAGGUCCAUGGAGCCCAUUCCUCUCAUGACUCCCUAUCAAAUGGGUCCAUUCGAGUUUUCCCACAGGGUCGUGCUGGCGCCGAUGACGAGGUCGAGAUCGUACGGCAACUUCCCGCAGCCGCACGCCAUGCAGUACUACGCGCAGAGGGCCACGGAGGGUGGGCUCCUCAUCUCGGAGGCCACCGGCGUGUCGGCCGACGCGCAGGGGAUGAGCGCCAUCCCGCACACCCCUGGGAUCUGGACCAAGGAUCAGGUCCAGGCAUGGAGGCCCAUCGUGGACGCCGUGCACGCCAAGGGCGGCAUUUUCUUCUGCCAGAUCUGGCACGUUGGGCGAGCGUCCGACAUGCAGCAAGAACCCAUCUCCAGCACCGAUAAGCCGAUAGAGAGGACUCCAGAGAACUACUCCAUGGACUUCUCCACCCCCAGGAGCCUAACCGAGGAAGAGAUUCCCGAUAUCGUCAAUCAGUUCAGAAUUGCUGCCCGCAAUGCUCUUGAAGCCGGGUUCGACGGGGUGGAGCUGCACGCCGGGAACGGCUACCUGCUGGACCAGUUCAUGAAAGACAGCGUCAACGACCGCGCCGACGGCUACGGGGGCAGCCUUGAGAACCGCUGA